This 2526-nucleotide ribosomal RNA is filed under the name Escherichia coli. Its description in RNAcentral is "partial 23S ribosomal RNA". It matches the Rfam family "Bacterial large subunit ribosomal RNA", at positions 419 to 2925 of the family's 2925-position model. The record is from RNAcentral. Lineage: Bacteria; Pseudomonadati; Pseudomonadota; Gammaproteobacteria; Enterobacterales; Enterobacteriaceae.
GGGACACGUGGUAUCCUGUCUGAAUAUGGGGGGACCAUCCUCCAAGGCUAAAUACUCCUGACUGACCGAUAGUGAACCAGUACCGUGAGGGAAAGGCGAAAAGAACCCCGGCGAGGGGAGUGAAAAAGAACCUGAAACCGUGUACGUACAAGCAGUGGGAGCCUCUUAAUGGGGUGACUGCGUACCUUUUGUAUAAUGGGUCAGCGACUUAUAUUCUGUAGCAAGGUUAACCGAAUAGGGGAGCCGAAGGGAAACCGAGUCUUAACUGGGCGUUAAGUUGCAGGGUAUAGACCCGAAACCCGGUGAUCUAGCCAUGGGCAGGUUGAAGGUUGGGUAACACUAACUGGAGGACCGAACCGACUAAUGUUGAAAAAUUAGCGGAUGACUUGUGGCUGGGGGUGAAAGGCCAAUCAAACCGGGAGAUAGCUGGUUCUCCCCGAAAGCUAUUUAGGUAGCGCCUCGUGAAUUCAUCUCCGGGGGUAGAGCACUGUUUCGGCAAGGGGGUCAUCCCGACUUACCAACCCGAUGCAAACUGCGAAUACCGGAGAAUGUUAUCACGGGAGACACACGGCGGGUGCUAACGUCCGUCGUGAAGAGGGAAACAACCCAGACCGCCAGCUAAGGUCCCAAAGUCAUGGUUAAGUGGGAAACGAUGUGGGAAGGCCCAGACAGCCAGGAUGUUGGCUUAGAAGCAGCCAUCAUUUAAAGAAAGCGUAAUAGCUCACUGGUCGAGUCGGCCUGCGCGGAAGAUGUAACGGGGCUAAACCAUGCACCGAAGCUGCGGCAGCGACACUAUGUGUUGUUGGGUAGGGGAGCGUUCUGUAAGCCUGUGAAGGUGGCCUGUGAGGGUUGCUGGAGGUAUCAGAAGUGCGAAUGCUGACAUAAGUAACGAUAAAGCGGGUGAAAAGCCCGCUCGCCGGAAGACCAAGGGUUCCUGUCCAACGUUAAUCGGGGCAGGGUGAGUCGACCCCUAAGGCGAGGCCGAAAGGCGUAGUCGAUGGGAAACAGGUUAAUAUUCCUGUACUUGGUGUUACUGCGAAGGGGGGACGGAGAAGGCUAUGUUGGCCGGGCGACGGUUGUCCCGGUUUAAGCGUGUAGGCUGGUUUUCCAGGCAAAUCCGGAAAACCAAGGCUGAGGCGUGAUGACGAGGCACUACGGUGCUGAAGCGACAAAUGCCCUGCUUCCAGGAAAAGCCUCUAAGCAUCAGGUAACAUCAAAUCGUACCCCAAACCGACACAGGUGGUCAGGUAGAGAAUACCAAGGCGCUUGAGAGAACUCGGGUGAAGGAACUAGGCAAAAUGGUGCCGUAACUUCGGGAGAAGGCACGCUGAUAUGUAGGUGAAGCGACUUGCUCGUGGAGCUGAAAUCAGUCGAAGAUACCAGCUGGCUGCAACUGUUUAUUAAAAACACAGCACUGUGCAAACACGAAAGUGGACGUAUACGGUGUGACGCCUGCCCGGUGCCGGAAGGUUAAUUGAUGGGGUUAGCGGCAACGCGAAGCUCUUGAUCGAAGCCCCGGUAAACGGCGGCCGUAACUAUAACGGUCCUAAGGUAGCGAAAUUCCUUGUCGGGUAAGUUCCGACCUGCACGAAUGGCGUAAUGAUGGCCAGGCUGUCUCCACCCGAGACUCAGUGAAAUUGAACUCGCUGUGAAGAUGCAGUGUACCCGCGGCAAGACGGAAAGACCCCGUGAACCUUUACUAUAGCUUGACACUGAACAUUGAGCCUUGAUGUGUAGGAUAGGUGGGAGGCUUUGAAGUGUGGACGCCAGUCUGCAUGGAGCCGACCUUGAAAUACCACCCUUUAAUGUUUGAUGUUCUAACGUGGGCCCCUAAUCGGGGUUGCGGACAGUGUCUGGUGGGUAGUUUGACUGGGGCGGUCUCCUCCUAAAGAGUAACGGAGGAGCACGAAGGUUGGCUAAUCCUGGUCGGACAUCAGGAGGUUAGUGCAAUGGCAUAAGCCAGCUUGACUGCGAGCGUGACGGCGCGAGCAGGUGCGAAAGCAGGUCAUAGUGAUCCGGUGGUUCUGAAUGGAAGGGCCAUCGCUCAACGGAUAAAAGGUACUCCGGGGAUAACAGGCUGAUACCGCCCAAGAGUUCAUAUCGACGGCGGUGUUUGGCACCUCGAUGUCGGCUCAUCACAUCCUGGGGCUGAAGUAGGUCCCAAGGGUAUGGCUGUUCGCCAUUUAAAGUGGUACGCGAGCUGGGUUUAGAACGUCGUGAGACAGUUCGGUCCCUAUCUGCCGUGGGCGCUGGAGAACUGAGGGGGGCUGCUCCUAGUACGAGAGGACCGGAGUGGACGCAUCACUGGUGUUCGGGUUGUCAUGCCAAUGGCACUGCCCGGUAGCUAAAUGCGGAAGAGAUAAGUGCUGAAAGCAUCUAAGCACGAAACUUGCCCCGAGAUGAGUUCUCCCUGACUCCUUGAGAGUCCUGAAGGAACGUUGAAGACGACGACGUUGAUAGGCCGGGUGUGUAAGCGCAGCGAUGCGUUGAGCUAACCGGUACUAAUGAACCGUGAGGCUUAACCUU